Molecule: ribosomal RNA, 274 nt
Filed under: uncultured bacterium
Lineage: Bacteria
Description: partial 16S ribosomal RNA
Rfam family: Bacterial small subunit ribosomal RNA
Source: RNAcentral
AUACGGAGGGUCCAAGCGUUAUCCGGAUUCAUUGGGUUUAAAGGGUGCGCAGGCGGGCUUGUAAGUCAGUGGUGAAAUACUGCCGCUUAACGGUAGAACUGCCAUUGAUACUGCAAGUCUUGAAUAUGGUUGAGGUAGGCGGAAUGUGUUGUGUAGCGGUGAAAUGCAUAGAUAUGACACAGAACGCCAAUUGCGAAGGCAGCUUACUAAGCCAUUAUUGACGCUGAGGCACGAAAGCGUGGGGAGCGAACAGGAUUAGAUACCCGGGUAGUCC